GGACUACAGGGGUAUCUAAUCCUGUUUGCUCCCCACGCUUUCGUGCCUCAGUGUCAGUAUCUGUCCAGAAAGUCGCCUUCGCCACUGAUGUUCCUUCCGAUAUCUACGCAUUUCACUGCUACACCGGAAAUUCCACUUCCCUCUACAGUACUCUAGCCUAACAGUAUCAGACGCAGUCCCCAGGUUAAGCCCGGGAAUUUCACAUCUGACUUACUAAACCACCUACGCACCCUUUACGCCCAGUAAUUCCGAUUAACGCUCGCACCCUCUGUAUUACCGCGGCUGCUGGCAC
This 292-nucleotide ribosomal RNA is filed under the name uncultured bacterium. Its description in RNAcentral is "partial 16S ribosomal RNA". The record is from RNAcentral.